RNAcentral lists this ribosomal RNA (412 nucleotides) under uncultured bacterium. RNAcentral's name for it is "partial 16S ribosomal RNA". It matches the Rfam family "Bacterial small subunit ribosomal RNA", at positions 360 to 773 of the family's 1533-position model. The record is from RNAcentral.
AAUAUUGGACAAUUGGCGAAAGCCUGAUCCAGCCACGCCGCGUGAGCGAUGAAGGUCUUCGGAGCGUAAAGCUCUGUCCUGGGGGAAGAAGGGAGCCGUAAGGCUUCUUGACGGUACCCAUGGCGGAAGACCCGGCUAACCACUGGCCAGCAGCCGCGGUAAUACGUAGGGGGCAAGCGUUGUCCGGAAUUAUUGGGCGUACAGGGUGCGUAGGCGGCCCUUUAAGUCAGAUGUGAAAGCCCACGGCUUAACCGUGGGACUGCAUUUGAAACUGGAGGGCUUGAGUGUCGGAGAGGGCAGUGGAAUUCCCAGUGUAGCGGUGGAAUGCGUAGAUAUCGGGAGGAACACCAGUGGCGAAGGCGACUGCCUGGACGAUAACUGACGCUGAGGCACGAAAGCUAGGGGAGCAAAC